This 3853-nucleotide long non-coding RNA is filed under the name Sus scrofa (pig). Its description in RNAcentral is "lncRNA (ENSSSCG00015001120.1)". The record is from RNAcentral. Lineage: Eukaryota; Metazoa; Chordata; Mammalia; Artiodactyla; Suidae.
GUGACUGAGCACUGAGUCCCCUGUGGUGUUGGGACCCCAACCCAGCAUUUACACUUGCACAAGCCUGGGCCUGACAAGCCCUUAGAGACCCACUCCAAACCCCUUAAGUCACAGACAAUGACUGAGGCUUCCAGAGGGAAAGUACCUUGCCCAGAUGAGGCAGAGCCUGGAUUAAAACUCAGUUCUCCUGUUUGCAUGGAAGCAGUCUAUCAGUGUUCUGUCCCUGCUCAUUUCUCAUUGGGAGGGAACCUGGUACACAGGAAAUGAACGAAAAGGUGCCUAUUCCAAGAAGGGCCCCCGGAGCCCAGUCCUGGCUCUGCCACAGCACAUCUGGGUGAGCUUGGGAAAGUUACCCUGCCCCUCUGGACCUUGGGCUCCUCGUCUCUAAAAUGAGUCUGACAACAGCUGACAUCAGAUAGUACAUGAUGCUGAGUGUGAUGCUAACCUUGGGCUGUUUCCAUGCAGCAUCCUCCCAGCAGGGUUUGCUGCCCACUGUAGGAUGACAGAAAAAGCUAUAGUCAGGCUGUGUAAUCGGGGACAGCCUAUGGGAGCAAGAGCCCUGUGAGUCUCUGUUGCUACCUGAGGAAAGAUAUGAUGAGAUGUAGGUGAGAGGCCAGUACCCUGCCCCCCUUCCACAGACCUGUAACAUGGAGGUGGAUCAUCCCAGAUAUGUGAUUUUGGCAACCUGGGGUUAUCUGGCUGGUAUCCGCCUCUCUCCUUUCCAAGACCCUGCCUCUUAGAGCCCUGGCACUUAGGGAGACUCAGCAGGUGAACAAAGUCGCAUUUUCUCAUUUCAGUGUAUCGCUUACUGAGCUAAUGGGCAGGGGAGUCGCUGAGGCAGUCCAAGAAUCAUUUGAAAGCCAAUUAAAGCAAGGGUAGCAAUCCACACAUGCCCCCUUCCAGCAGAGGUGUGGAAUACACUCCUUGUUUGCCUAAAAUUUGAGAAAUGCAGAGGUUAACAAAACGUGCAAUUGUCAUUUUAACGGGGCUUUAUUUUUCCAUGGUUAAGUCCAUGAAUCCUUUUUCAUAAAGCAAAGAAUCAUCACUGACUUAACAUUUGGCCCAUGUGGAUUUCCACAGAUCAAGUUUGGCUUAACAUACAACUUUUUUCCAAGCUAGCUCAUCAGGUCUGCAGCCAUCUUCCCUGGAUUUGAGGCUGAUUCAAAACUAGGUGGGAAGAGCCGGACCCAGCAGGGUAAUAACAGAGAUGGAUAAGUUCCUGUGCACUUGUUGGGAUCUAAUGCUCCUGACCAAGUGGUCAGAACUCUGCUAAUGCCAGGAAAUAUUACCAGGAUAAAUUUUCAGCGCUAGCAUUUUGGUGGCGUGGGGGCUGUGCAGGCAGCAAAUCUGGCUGGAAGGGUUGUACUAGAGGGCUCUUAAAGCUGCAUUUGUGGCGUGCUUCACUUAAGACUGAAAAAUGCCAAUCAACCAUGUCACUGGGAGGGAGCAGUUGUUGGAAAUUUUGUAAAGAACUGGGCCCCUUGUCAACUCUCAUUGCCGUGGUGUUACAUUCCUUCUCCCAUGAUGCCUGUAGUGCAACUUGAAGAGGAACGGGACAUACUUGGGCACCCAAGCAAGAACCGUUGUCAUGUUGAAGAUACUGGACAGGCAGGCAGAGGUCAUGAGAAGAGCCUGGAGGCCUAUGGAAAAGGCACUUUUCUGGCUUCUUCCAGGUUCUUCCUCGCCCCUUCCUGAAAUAAUCAUUGUCCUGCUGAGACCUCUAGUGGCCAUACUGGUAACUACAGGAGUCUGAAGCAGGAGGGAAGGAAGCCGUCACUGUGGGCUCUCCCAAGCCACAGCCAAGCACAUCCACAGAGGUCUUUGGAGUCCUCAGCCUGAAACUCUUUGUCAGCAGAGGAAAGAGAGCAUCACAUACCUAAAGACUCUGAAAUAGCCCAGGGCCUGGUGGCCUGUUGCCAUGAGAACAUGCCUAGCUGCCUAUUAGCCAUGGUGAUGAGGACUCUGCCCUCUUUUGUGCUUCUGGUUUAUCCUGGCUUAGUUCUGGGAUCCACUGGAAGUGCUAGAUUUGGCCAAUCCUUCAUGCCUUGCCCUAAAACAAACCUAUCAUCCCACUGUUCCCCGAAACCAAACUGAGCUCCCGAGAGUCUGAAGAGUCAGCGGCCAGAAUCCUUCUUAUCUGGCAGACACACAUACCAACCCAUAUUUGUCCCCGGGGUCCCUGUAUAGACCUGGCUGGCUUGGGGGCCAGGUGGCCUGGCACUGCUUCCCUAGACAUUCAUCUCCCAAAGGGACAGAACACCAGCCCUCCACUGCUACAGCCUCCCACACUCUGAUCCUUGGGGCUUCCUGAGAACAGUGAGUUACACCUGACUGGCACAAGGCUAAAUUGUUUUAAUUGGUCUAACCCAGUAGUUUUCAAAGUGUGGUCCCCAGACCAGCAGCAUCACCAUCACCCAGGAACUUGUUAGAAAUGCAUGUUUUUGGAAUUUCCAUUGUGGCUCAGCGAGUUAAAGUUCUGACUACUAUCCAUGAGGAUAUGGGUUCAAUCCCUGGCCUCACUCAGUGGGUUAAGGAUCUGGCAUUGCCUUGAGCUGUGGUGUAGGUCGCAGUUAUAUCUUGGAUCCCGAGUUGCUGUGGCUGUGGCUGUGGCAUAGGCCAGCAGCUGCAGCACCUAUUCAGCCCCUAACCUGGAAACUUCCAUAUGCCAUAGGUGCAGCAUUAAAAAAGAAAAGAAAUACAGGUUCUCAGGCCCUGUGCUAGACCUACUGAAUCAGAAACUCUGUGAGUGGAGACCAGCCACCUGUGUUUUAUAGGCUUCCAGGUGCCUCUGAGGCUCAGUAAGCUUUGAGACCCUCUGCCCCAAGCACUGAUUCACAAAUGUCAGUAUGUACAUGAUGACAAACUCUCAGCUUAGUUAAUUUGGCCUCCCCCACGGCAUGCGAAAGUCCCCAGGCCAGGAAUUGAACCUGCACCGUAGCAGUGACAAUGCUGGAUCCUUAACCCACGGAACCACCAGGGAACGCCCUCUCAGCUUAUGUAAAUGUGGAUGCUGAUCCCUCAGCCACAGAGAUUUAGUAGUUCUUCAGUAGGGAUGUGGAAAUCUGAUUCUGAAACCAUCACUCCAUGUAAUUCUGAUGCAGUUAGAUCCACACACCACUGUUUUGAGGAAAUCUGUUCUGAAAUGAGCAGGGCCACCUUCACCAGCAGAGUUUAGCUUUCUCUCUUGACUUAAAGAUAAAUACUGUUCUCCCAUCUCAGUAGCCAUGAGAAAGACCUCAGAAAACAUAUCAGAUGCUCCAAGUCUUUGAAGGGGGUCAUACUGUUCCCUCAGCAAAUGAGCUUUAGCAAAUGCCAUGAGGAAAAUCUUAGUGGAAUCUGUAUCACAGUACAAACGUGGAAUCUUUCUCUGGAAAGAGAUGCUAAUCACUGAGGGAAGAGAAAGAACAGGAAACCUGCGGCUCCCUGGGAGUCUGGCACUCUGGGUGAUGUGCCAGGCUCGACCAACAAGCGUGUGCCAUCUCUGGGCAGAGAGUCCAUCAGAUAACAAGGUGCCCUUCUCGAACAAUAUCAGAUUUAGUGGUACUGUCACAACAAGACCCAAGGCACUGGUUCAUUAGAAUACUGCUGGGAGGGGAGUUCCCGUCGUGGCUCAGUGGUUAACGAAUCCGACUAGGAACCAUGAGGUUGCGGUUCGAUCCCUGGCCUUGCCCAGUGGGUUAAGGAUCCAGCGUUGCCGUGAGCUGUGGUAUAGGUUGCAGAUGCAGCUUGGAUCUCAAGUUGCUGUGGUUGUGGCUGUGGCCAGCGGCUAUAGCUCUGAUUGGACCCCUAGCCUGGGAAUCUCCAUAUGCCGCAGGUGCGGCCCUAGAAAAGGCACAAAAAAAAAAAAAAAAAA